AACGUAGGAGACAAACGUUAUCCGGAGUUACUGGGCGUAAAGGGCGUGUAGGUGGUUUCGUAAGUCUGGCGUGAAAUUUUUCGGCUUAACCGGGAAAGGUCGUCGGAUACUGCGGAACUAGAGGACGGUAGAGGCGUGUGGAAUUCCGGGUGUAGUGGUGAAAUGCGUAGAGAUCCGGAAGAACACCGGUGGCGAAGGCGGUCUGCUGGGCAGUUGCUGACACUGAGGCGCGACAGCGUGGGGAGCAAACAGG
RNAcentral lists this ribosomal RNA (253 nucleotides) under uncultured bacterium. RNAcentral describes it as "partial 16S ribosomal RNA". It matches the Rfam family "Bacterial small subunit ribosomal RNA", at positions 524 to 776 of the family's 1533-position model. The record is from RNAcentral.